UACGGAGGGGGCUAGCGUUGUUCGGAAUUACUGGGCGUAAAGCGCACGUAGGCGGCUUUGUAAGUUAGAGGUGAAAGCCCGGGGCUCAACUCCGGAAUUGCCUUUAAGACUGCAUCGCUAGAAUUGUGGAGAGGUAAGUGGAAUUCCGAGUGUAGAGGUGAAAUUCGUAGAUAUCGGGAGGAACACCGGUGGCGAAGGCAGCGAUCUGGGUAGAUACUGACGCUGAGGUGCGAAAGCGUGGGGAGCAAACAGG
RNAcentral lists this ribosomal RNA (253 nucleotides) under uncultured bacterium. RNAcentral's name for it is "partial 16S ribosomal RNA". It matches the Rfam family "Bacterial small subunit ribosomal RNA", at positions 524 to 776 of the family's 1533-position model. The record is from RNAcentral.